This 466-nucleotide ribosomal RNA is filed under the name uncultured bacterium. RNAcentral describes it as "partial 16S ribosomal RNA". It matches the Rfam family "Bacterial small subunit ribosomal RNA", at positions 28 to 507 of the family's 1533-position model. The record is from RNAcentral.
GAUGAACGCUGGCGGCGUGCUUAACACAUGCAGGUCGAACGGAAAGGCUCUUGCUUGCAGGGGUACUCGAGUGGCGAACGGGUGAGUAACACGUGGGUGAUCUGCCCUGCACUUCGGGAUAAGCCUGGGAAACUGGGUCUAAUACCGGAUAGGACGAUGGUUUGGAUGCCAUUGUGGAAAGUUUUUUCGGUGUGGGAUGAGCUCGCGGCCUAUCAGCUUGUUGGUGGGGUAAUGGCCUACCAAGGCGUCGACGGGUCGCCGGCCUGAGAGGGUGUACGGCCACAUUGGGACUGAGAUACGGCCCAGACUCCUACGGGAGGCAGCAGUGGGGAAUAUUGCACAAUGGGCGCAAGCCUGAUGCAGCGACGCCGCGUGGGGGAUGACGGCCUUCGGGUUGUAAACUCCUUUCGCUAGGGACGAAGCGCAAGUGACGGUACCUGGAGAAGAAGCACCGGCUAACUACGUG